GACGAACGCUGGCGGCGUGCUUAACACAUGCAAGUCGUACGGUAAGGCCCUUUCGGGGGUCCACGAGUGGCGAACGGGUGAGUAACACGUGAGUAACCUGCCCACAACUUUGGGAUAACGCUAGGAAACUGGUGCUAAUACUGGAUAUGUGCUCCUGCUGCAUGGUGGGGGUUGGAAAGCUCCGGCGGUUGUGGAUGGACUCGCGGCCUAUCAGCUUGUUGGUGGGGUAGUGGCCUACCAAGGCGGCGACGGGUAGCCGGCCUGAGAGGGUGACCGGCCACAUUGGGACUGAGAUACGGCCCAGACUCCUACGGGAGGCAGCAGUGGGGAAUAUUGCACAAUGGGCGCAAGCCUGAUGCAGCAACGCCGCGUGCGGGAGGACGGCCUUCGGGUUGUAAACCGCUUUCAGCAGGGACGAAGCUUUUUGUGACGGUACCUGCAGAAGAAGCACCGGCUAACUACGUG
Molecule: ribosomal RNA, 465 nt
Filed under: uncultured bacterium
Lineage: Bacteria
Description: partial 16S ribosomal RNA
Rfam family: Bacterial small subunit ribosomal RNA
Source: RNAcentral